UUUACAAUUAUGCAAAUCCUUGAGAUAAGUUCCAUUUCUGGGCCAAUCCAGAAAUGUAAACAAGCAUAACAGUGGUAGAGCUGGUUUUCUUAUGUUGGUGAGUUUGAUUUAGUUCUCGGUAACCUGUGGUACGAUAUCAUAAUGAACUGAACAGAGCUGUUUGUCUUAUUCUUGCCGUAUGCAGUUGAGGGUGUUUUCUUGGUUUAAAGCACAUAUUGGAGUUGUUGGCAAUGGCAUUCAAUAUAUGCAAAUUUAGAGUGACUUUGCCAUUUAAAUUGGUAUGAAAAAGGACAAGUGAUGUGCUCAUGUUGUAAGAAACAUGACCAUGCUGAAGUCCUUAAUAGUUACUGACUUACUGAUCAAUAUGGUGGACAGCACCGGCUUGUGGAGAUGAACUUGAAGAUUCCGGAGGAUCAUUGUUGGAGAAUAUUUAGCAGAGAAUGAAGAUAUACAGAAGGAAUCUAAAUCACUGAAACAUCCAGAAGAUCUAAUUCUAGGCAAGGUACUUUCAUUGUCAAAACACAUACAUUAGAGGUAAAAGAAUUCCUGGGUACGCAUGGUUUGAUACUUUUGCACAAUGGACUAGUAAAAGCAGGUAACUUUAUAUGACCCUUCCAUGUUUGAGUUAUAUACCAUGCAAUAGUUGUCAAAUUGACAACAUGCUAUAUAAAAGGUGCACAAUAUGUAUAUAUUUGAUUCUUUCUCUCUUUUUAGUCCUAUCCAUCACAUUGAAUGAUGGAACAUCUCAAUUGAUUUUACUGACUAUCAGAGUUGCAGCUAUACAUAUUUUCUUGUGGUGUUACCUCCA
Molecule: long non-coding RNA, 808 nt
Organism: Glycine soja
Lineage: Eukaryota; Viridiplantae; Streptophyta; Magnoliopsida; Fabales; Fabaceae
Exons: 3
Source: RefSeq, a predicted model, not a curated record